CCUACGGGAGGCAGCAGUGGGGAAUAUUGGACAAUGGGGGCAACCCUGAUCCAGCCAUGCCGCGUGUGUGAAGAAGGCCCUCGGGUUGUAAAGCACUUUCAGUGAGGAAGAACGCCUGGUGGUUAAUACCCAUCAGGAAAGACAUCACUCACAGAAGAAGCACCGGCUAACUCCGUGCCAGCAGCCGCGGUAAUACGGAGGGUGCGAGCGUUAAUCGGAAUUACUGGGCGUAAAGCGCGCGUAGGUGGCUUGAUAAGCCGGUUGUGAAAGCCCCGGGCUCAACCUGGGAACGGCAUCCGGAACUGUUGAGCUAGAGUGCAGGAGAGGAAGGUAGAAUUCCCGGUGUAGCGGUGAAAUGCGUAGAGAUCGGGAGGAAUACCAGUGGCGAAGGCGGCCUUCUGGACAGCAACUGACACUGAGGUGCGAAAGCGUGGGUAGCAAACAGGAUUAGAUACCCUUGUAGUC
This 465-nucleotide ribosomal RNA is filed under the name Vreelandella stevensii. Its description in RNAcentral is "partial 16S ribosomal RNA". It matches the Rfam family "Bacterial small subunit ribosomal RNA", at positions 338 to 795 of the family's 1533-position model. The record is from RNAcentral. Lineage: Bacteria; Pseudomonadati; Pseudomonadota; Gammaproteobacteria; Oceanospirillales; Halomonadaceae.